RNAcentral lists this ribosomal RNA (253 nucleotides) under uncultured bacterium. RNAcentral's name for it is "partial 16S ribosomal RNA". It matches the Rfam family "Bacterial small subunit ribosomal RNA", at positions 524 to 776 of the family's 1533-position model. The record is from RNAcentral.
UACAGAGGUCCCAAGCGUUGUUCGGAUUCAUUGGGCGUAAAGGGUGCGUAGGUGGCGUGGUAAGUCGGGUGUGAAAUUUCGGAGCUUAACUCCGAAACUGCAUUCGAUACUGCCGUGCUUGAGGACUGGAGAGGAGGCUGGAAUUUACGGUGUAGCGGUGAAAUGCGUAGAGAUCGUGCGGAAGACCAGUGGCGAAGGCGGGUCUCUGGACUGUUCCUGACGCUGAGGCGCGAAAGCCGGGGGAGCAAACGGG